AUUGAACGCUGGCGGCAUGCCUUACACAUGCAAGUCGAACGCACUAGCAAUAGUGAGUGGCGCACGGGUGCGUAACACGUGGGUAAUCAACCCUUCAGCCUGGGAUAACGACUCGAAAGGGUCGCUAAUACCGGAUACGGCGCGAGAGGCUUCGGCUUCUCACGAGAAAGCCACGCAAGGGGCACUGAAGGACGAGCCUGCGGCCCAUCAGCUAGUUGGUGAGGUAAGAGCUCACCAAGGCUAAGACGGGUAGCUGGUCUGAGAGGAUGAUCAGCCACACUGGAACUGAGACACGGUCCAGACUCCUACGGGAGGCAGCAGUGGGGAAUAUUGCGCAAUGGGCGAAAGCCUGACGCAGCCACGCCGCGUGAGCGAUGAAGGCCUCGGUCGUAAGACGUCUGUGGGAGGAGACGAAGAAAGACCUGU
RNAcentral lists this ribosomal RNA (426 nucleotides) under uncultured bacterium. RNAcentral's name for it is "bacterial SSU rRNA". It matches the Rfam family "Bacterial small subunit ribosomal RNA", at positions 29 to 460 of the family's 1533-position model. The record is from RNAcentral.